Pelodiscus sinensis (Chinese soft-shelled turtle) is the source of this 1637-nucleotide non-coding RNA. NCBI's taxonomy places the organism in Eukaryota, Metazoa, Chordata, Testudines, Trionychidae. The record is from RefSeq and is a predicted model, not a curated record.
CAGCCAGCUUGAUAGAACCUACUUCUAACAAUAUGGUGAGAAGCAGUUCUUGCAUGACCACUGGCUAUCACCAUACAUCUGCUACCAUGCAGGGUACACUCUGAAAUCCCAAGUUAUUUGCAAGACUGGCACUUAGAGAAAUUCUUCUUAUUUAACUGAGCAUAUUUGAUAUGGAAAUCAAUGAGAGACUAUAAACAUGGACCCCCAGAAUGCCAUUUUGGUCAUUUUGUUUUUGUAAAAUCAGAUUAUAAAAGAAUCCAGUUAUACUGCAUCAGAUUUUUAAACGUUGAUAACUGAUGGACUGAUAUGAUGUGAUUUCUUUGAAGAUCAAGUUUUCUGCCCCUGCAAGAAAUUAGAGGAGAGGAUGUACAGAAGAACUGAAGACUGAAAACACCUGCAGAUUAAAAGCAUGAAGAAACAUAAGAAGGCUCGUCUGCAGUCGGGCAGACAUGAGGGCAUGAAGACAUAUAACUGUCCCAGAUUUGGGAUGUUCAAAUAAUACUUUCUGCAAUCUUGCCUGACAAAGUUACUUAGUGGUAAAGAAAAAAAAACAAAAAACAAGAACAUAAAAGAAGAAGAUCUGGAUCAUAUGUAUUUUUUUCAUCAAGAAACUUUGAAAGUCAAGCAAGUAUUUUUUUUAUCUUGACCUUUCUACAAUACUGCCCUAUAUUCACAAGUUGUCAGCACAUGUUUGUCUGGAGUCAUCCGUCACUGCCAUCCGUCACUCCUCUGCCAUUCCCAUCAGUCCCAUUAUCUGGGAUCAAGAGAGAGCUGAGGAUGUAGCCUGAAGGAUCAUUAAACCUUAGCUUCCAGGUAUUGCAGGUAGUCCAGGUGGCCUGUUGUUAUUUAUAAUAAAGAAACAACACAGCAGAACUGCUUGAUAGUGGCCCAUGAGGCCUCAUGAAAGGACGGGCUGAGAGAUGUCAUCACUGAAGGACAGCUAAAAGUGGUGGACUUUCUUCCCCCCUUGCAGUAAGCAGAGAGAAUUUAUUGAACAUCUGUUCAGUACAUGGCUGGGAAGAUUGAUUAAUUUAAUUGCUCACACUUUGCUUAAGUAACAUUUGAAUACUUAAUGUCAGGUUUGAAGGAUAUUACAGGGUUUCCUACACACCUUCUUUUUAAAGAGACAGAGUUUCCGAUUGCUUUUGGUGUCUUUCUGGGAAGUUGAAAUGCAUCCUAAAAUUUACUUUGUAUUCGAGUCCAUCAAAAGAAGCACAUGGGAAAUGCUGCCUUUUCAUAAAAGCAACUAGCUAUUUUUCAUAUUUUGCCCAUCAUUAUCAAUCAUUAGUGUAACAAGUUUGGCUCUUCUUUACUGAGUGGUGGUAAUUUUCCCUCUGGUAUCAACUGUAGAGACAGUUCUGCAUAUUAUAUAUUUCUGUACCCUUUAACAUAAUACCAUGAUUGUACUGAAGUAGUAGAUGAGUUAAAGCUGCAAUAAUUUAUUGCAAGUUCCAUUCAGACAGUGAGUUUGGGAGGAAAUUUGUGAAAUCCUCACAGGAAAAAAUACAUUAAUGGAGUAACAUUAAACAAUGGAAUGUUUGAUAUAAUUCCAUCAUCUAUGGUAAUAGAAUACUCAAAUAAAAAAUAUGAAUGGGCUCUUCGGGGUACAGUGGUCAUCAUGUAAAAGAAAAAUUUUA